Molecule: non-coding RNA, 72 nt
Organism: Phrynosoma platyrhinos (Desert horned lizard)
Lineage: Eukaryota; Metazoa; Chordata; Lepidosauria; Squamata; Phrynosomatidae
Source: the annotation of a GenBank genome assembly
GCCAGCAUAGUUCAGUAGUUUGAACACUGGACUGUGACUCUGGAAACCAGGGUUCAAAUCCAUGCUCAGCCA